UGUUUAUUUGGGGAUAUUGU
RNAcentral lists this microRNA (20 nucleotides) under Chiloscyllium plagiosum (whitespotted bambooshark). RNAcentral describes it as "microRNA PC-3p-1344021_1". The record is from RNAcentral. Lineage: Eukaryota; Metazoa; Chordata; Chondrichthyes; Orectolobiformes; Hemiscylliidae.